This 436-nucleotide ribosomal RNA is filed under the name uncultured bacterium. RNAcentral's name for it is "bacterial SSU rRNA". It matches the Rfam family "Bacterial small subunit ribosomal RNA", at positions 318 to 752 of the family's 1533-position model. The record is from RNAcentral.
ACUGAGACACGGACCAGACUCCUACGGGAGGCAGCAGUGAGGAAUAUUGGUCAAUGGCCGCAGGGCUGAACCAGCCAAGUCGCGUGAGGGAUGACGGUCCUAUGGAUUGUAAACCUCUUUUGUCAGGGAGCAAAGGGCGCCACGUGUGGCGUUUUGCGAGUACCUGAAGAAAAAGCAUCGGCUAACUCCGUGCCAGCAGCCGCGGUAAUACGGAGGAUGCGAGCGUUAUCCGGAUUUAUUGGGUUUAAAGGGUGCGCAGGCGGAAUGUCAAGUCAGCGGUAAAAUUUCGGGGCUCAACCCCGUCGUGCCGUUGAAACUGGCGUUCUUGAGUGAGCGAGAAGUAUGCGGAAUGCGUGGUGUAGCGGUGAAAUGCAUAGAUAUCACGCAGAACUCCGAUUGCGAAGGCAGCAUACCGGCGCUCAACUGACGCUCAUGC